GCUCUGGGGAGAGUCCUGGCCAGGAUGCCAGGGCAUGUAUUAUUUAGGACUUUUAUUUGUCCCUGUCCCAGGUUAGGUACUGUUCCAAGCAAUUCAGUCCCACCCUUUAUCUGCACACCAGAAACAAAGUGAGGAAAAGCGCACAGCAGGCCUAAGUCCUGGUUCUCCCAGAAGUCCUAGUAUAAAUUAUUUAACUCCUCGGAGCCACCCCCCCUCCCUAACUAUAAUAUGGAGAAAAUACACUCAAGGAAAGGUGGUCCCACAUCGCGGCUGCAGCUCAGGUUCCUGGCCUGCUUGGCCUGGAACACGCCGUGCAAAUAGUUGUGCUGCAGCCAUCCACACAAGCUGUGCGUGCUCACCAGGGCCCCAGGGCUAGGCCGGAUGCUAGUGGGAUACAGACGUGACUCUGAGCAGCCCCUGGGGGGCAGACAUCACCUGGAGAACUGAAAGACCCCAUGACGAGGCACCGGCCUCAGCGAGGGCAGGAGCCUGGGUCGAGCCACGCAGCCGGAUGGUGGAGAAGCCCAGGGCUCAGCCCUCCGCGACCCCAGGAGGGCUCCUCUGUGCGGCCUCCGCUGAGAGCCGACCUGCCCUGGAGAGUCGCUGCGGGUCGCGGAGGACGCUCUAGAGAAGAGCGGAGGCCGCGGGAGAUCAGGCGGGA
This is a long non-coding RNA of Tupaia belangeri chinensis (Chinese tree shrew), 661 nucleotides long. RefSeq lists it as uncharacterized. The record is from RefSeq and is a predicted model, not a curated record. Lineage: Eukaryota; Metazoa; Chordata; Mammalia; Scandentia; Tupaiidae. The transcript has 4 exons.